RNAcentral lists this ribosomal RNA (468 nucleotides) under uncultured bacterium. Its description in RNAcentral is "partial 16S ribosomal RNA". It matches the Rfam family "Bacterial small subunit ribosomal RNA", at positions 28 to 507 of the family's 1533-position model. The record is from RNAcentral.
GACGAACGCUGGCGGCGUGCUUAACACAUGCAAGUCGAACGGAAAGGCCCUGCUUUUGUGGGGUGCUCGAGUGGCGAACGGGUGAGUAACACGUGAGUAACCUGCCCUUGACUUUGGGAUAACUUCAGGAAACUGGGGCUAAUACCGGAUAGGAGCUCCUGCUGCAUGGUGGGGGUUGGAAGGUUUCGGCGGUUGGGGAUGGACUCGCGGCUUAUCAGCUUGUUGGUGGGGUAGUGGCUUACCAAGGCUUUGACGGGUAGCCGGCCUGAGAGGGUGACCGGCCACAUUGGGACUGAGAUACGGCCCAGACUCCUACGGGAGGCAGCAGUGGGGAAUAUUGCACAAUGGGCGGAAGCCUGAUGCAGCAACGCCGCGUGCGGGAUGACGGCCUUCGGGUUGUAAACCGCUUUCGCCUGCGACGAAGCGUGAGUGACGGUAAUGGGUAAAGAAGCACCGGCUAACUACGUG